This 1503-nucleotide ribosomal RNA is filed under the name Helicobacter pylori. RNAcentral's name for it is "bacterial SSU rRNA". It matches the Rfam family "Bacterial small subunit ribosomal RNA". The record is from RNAcentral. Lineage: Bacteria; Pseudomonadati; Campylobacterota; Epsilonproteobacteria; Campylobacterales; Helicobacteraceae.
UUUAUGGAGAGUUUGAUCCUGGCUCAGAGUGAACGCUGGCGGCGUGCCUAAUACAUGCAAGUCGAACGAUGAAGCUUCUAGCUUGCUAGAAGUGGAUUAGUGGCGCACGGGUGAGUAACGCAUAGGUCAUGUGCCUCUUAGUUUGGGAUAGCCAUUGGAAACGAUGAUUAAUACCAGAUACUCCCUACGGGGGAAAGAUUUAUCGCUAAGAGAUCAGCCUAUGUCCUAUCAGCUUGUUGGUAAGGUAAUGGCUUACCAAGGCUAUGACGGGUAUCCGGCCUGAGAGGGUGAACGGACACACUGGAACUGAGACACGGUCCAGACUCCUACGGGAGGCAGCAGUAGGGAAUAUUGCUCAAUGGGGGAAACCCUGAAGCAGCAACGCCGCGUGGAGGAUGAAGGUUUUAGGAUUGUAAACUCCUUUUGUUAGAGAAGAUAAUGACGGUAUCUAACGAAUAAGCACCGGCUAACUCCGUGCCAGCAGCCGCGGUAAUACGGAGGGUGCAAGCGUUACUCGGAAUCACUGGGCGUAAAGAGCGCGUAGGCGGGAUAGUCAGUCAGGUGUGAAAUCCUAUGGCUUAACCAUAGAACUGCAUUUGAAACUACUAUUCUAGAGUGUGGGAGAGGUAGGUGGAAUUCUUGGUGUAGGGGUAAAAUCCGUAGAGAUCAAGAGGAAUACUCAUUGCGAAGGCGACCUGCUAGAACAUUACUGACGCUGAUUGCGCGAAAGCGUGGGGAGCAAACAGGAUUAGAUACCCUGGUAGUCCACGCCCUAAACGAUGGAUGCUAGUUGUUGGAGGGCUUAGUCUCUCCAGUAAUGCAGCUAACGCAUUAAGCAUCCCGCCUGGGGAGUACGGUCGCAAGAUUAAAACUCAAAGGAAUAGACGGGGACCCGCACAAGCGGUGGAGCAUGUGGUUUAAUUCGAAGAUACACGAAGAACCUUACCUAGGCUUGACAUUGAGAGAAUCCGCUAGAAAUAGUGGAGUGUCUAGCUUGCUAGACCUUGAAAACAGGUGCUGCACGGCUGUCGUCAGCUCGUGUCGUGAGAUGUUGGGUUAAGUCCCGCAACGAGCGCAACCCCCUUUCUUAGUUGCUAACAGGUCAUGCUGAGAACUCUAAGGAUACUGCCUCCGUAAGGAGGAGGAAGGUGGGGACGACGUCAAGUCAUCAUGGCCCUUACGCCUAGGGCUACACACGUGCUACAAUGGGGUGCACAAAGAGAAGCAAUACUGCGAAGUGGAGCCAAUCUUCAAAACGCCUCUCAGUUCGGAUUGUAGGCUGCAACUCGCCUGCAUGAAGCUGGAAUCGCUAGUAAUCGCAAAUCAGCCAUGUUGCGGUGAAUACGUUCCCGGGUCUUGUACUCACCGCCCGUCACACCAUGGGAGUUGUGUUUGCCUUAAGUCAGGAUGCUAAACCAGCUACUGCCCACGGCACACACAGCGACUGGGGUGAAGUCGUAACAAGGUAACCGUAGGUGAACCUGCGGUUGGAUCACCUCCUUU